UGCAAGUCGAACGAUGAAGCCCAGCUUGCUGGGUGGAUUAGUGGCGAACGGGUGAGUAACACGUGAGUAACCUGCCCUUGACUCUGGGAUAAGCGUUGGAAACGACGUCUAAUACCGGAUACGAGCUUCCACCGCAUGGUGAGUUGCUGGAAAGAAUUUUGGUCAAGGAUGGACUCGCGGCCUAUCAGCUUGUUGGUGAGGUAACGGCUCACCAAGGCGACGACGGGUAGCCGGCCUGAGAGGGUGACCGGCCACACUGGGACUGAGACACGGCCCAGACUCCUACGGGAGGCAGCAGUGGGGAAUAUUGCACAAUGGGCGAAAGCCUGAUGCAGCAACGCCGCGUGAGGGACGACGGCCUUCGGGUUGUAAACCUCUUUUAGCAGGGAAGAAGCGAAAGUGACGGUACCUGCAGAAAAAGCACCGGCUAACUACGUGCCAGCAGCCGCGGUAAUACGUAGGGUGCAAGCGUUGUCCGGAAUUAUUGGGCGUAAAGAGCUCGUAGGCGGUUUGUCGCGUCUGCUGUGAAAUCCCGAGGCUCAACCUCGGGUCUGCAGUGGGUACGGGCAGACUAGAGUGCGGUAGGGGAGAUUGGAAUUCCUGGUGUAGCGGUGGAAUGCGCAGAUAUCAGGAGGAACACCGAUGGCGAAGGCAGAUCUCUGGGCCGCUACUGACGCUGAGGAGCGAAAGGGUGGGGAGCAAACAGGCUUAGAUACCCUGGUAGUCCACCCCGUAAACGUUGGGCGCUAGAUGUGGGGACCAUUCCACGGUUUCCGUGUCGUAGCUAACGCAUUAAGCGCCCCGCCUGGGGAGUACGGCCGCAAGGCUAAAACUCAAAGGAAUUGACGGGGGCCCGCACAAGCGGCGGAGCAUGCGGAUUAAUUCGAUGCAACGCGAAGAACCUUACCAAGGCUUGACAUAUACGAGAACGGGCCAGAAAUGGUCAACUCUUUGGACACUCGUAAACAGGUGGUGCAUGGUUGUCGUCAGCUCGUGUCGUGAGAUGUUGGGUUAAGUCCCGCAACGAGCGCAACCCUCGUUCUAUGUUGCCAGCACGUCAUGGUGGGAACUCAUGGGAUACUGCCGGGGUCAACUCGGAGGAAGGUGGGGACGACGUCAAAUCAUCAUGCCCCUUAUGUCUUGGGCUUCACGCAUGCUACAAUGGCCAGUACAAAGGGCUGCAAUACCGUAAGGUGGAGCGAAUCCCAAAAAGCUGGUCCCAGUUCGGAUUGAGGUCUGCAACUCGACCUCAUGAAGUCGGAGUCGCUAGUAAUCGCAGAUCAGCAACGCUGCGGUGAAUACGUUCCCGGGCCUUGUACACACCGCCCGUCAAGUCAUGAAAGUCGGUAACACCCGAAGCCAGUGGCCUAACCGCAAGGAUGGAGCU
This 1387-nucleotide ribosomal RNA is filed under the name Plantibacter flavus. RNAcentral describes it as "bacterial SSU rRNA". It matches the Rfam family "Bacterial small subunit ribosomal RNA". Lineage: Bacteria; Bacillati; Actinomycetota; Actinomycetes; Micrococcales; Microbacteriaceae. The record is from RNAcentral.